CUGGCUCAGAACGAACGUUAGCGGCGCGCCUAACACAUGCAAGUCGAGCGAGAAAGGGCUUCGGCCCCGGUAAAGCGGCGCACGGGUGAGUAACACGUAGGCAAUCUGCCUCGAGGUGGUGGAUAACCCUCCGAAAGGAGGGCUAAUACAGCAUGAGACCACGUCGUCGAAAGACGAUGCGGCCAAAGCCGGCCUCUUCAUGAAAGCUGGCGCCACGAGAUGAGCCUGCGGCCCAUCAGCUAGUUGGUAGGGUAACGGCCUACCAAGGCAAAGACGGGUAGCUGGUCUGAGAGGAUGAUCAGCCACACUGGAACUGAGACACGGUCCAGACUCCUACGGGAGGCAGCAGUGGGGAAUCUUGCGCAAUGGGCGAAAGCCUGACGCAGCGACGCCGCGUGAGCGAUGAAGGCCUCGGUGUAAGACUCUGUGGAGGGGGACGGAAGU
This 444-nucleotide ribosomal RNA is filed under the name uncultured bacterium. RNAcentral describes it as "bacterial SSU rRNA". It matches the Rfam family "Bacterial small subunit ribosomal RNA", at positions 19 to 452 of the family's 1533-position model. The record is from RNAcentral.